RNAcentral lists this ribosomal RNA (253 nucleotides) under uncultured bacterium. RNAcentral's name for it is "partial 16S ribosomal RNA". It matches the Rfam family "Bacterial small subunit ribosomal RNA", at positions 524 to 776 of the family's 1533-position model. The record is from RNAcentral.
UACAGAGGUGGCAAGCGUUGUUCGGAAUUACUGGGCGUAAAGGGCGCGUAGGCGGCCUUCUAAGUCAGACGUGAAAUCCCCCGGCUUAACCUGGGAACUGCGUCUGAUACUGGAGGGCUUGAGUGCGGGAGAGGGAUGUGGAAUUCCAGGUGUAGCGGUGAAAUGCGUAGAUAUGACAUAGAACACCAAUUGCGAAGGCAGCUGGCUACACAAAUAUUGACACUGAGGCACGAAAGCGUGGGGAUCAAACAGG